CGUUUAGUAUUUGGUCGUAGACCCGAAACCAGGUGAUCUACCCUUGGUCAGGUUGAAGUUCAGGUAACACUGAAUGGAGGACCGAACCGACUUACGUUGAAAAGUGAGCGGAUGAACUGAGGGUAGCGGAGAAAUUCCAAUCGAACCUGGAGAUAGCUGGUUCUCUCCGAAAUAGCUUUAGGGCUAGCCUCAAGUGAUGAUUAUUGGAGGUAGAGCACUGUUUGGACGAGGGGCCCCUCUCGGGUUACCGAAUUCAGACAAACUCCGAAUGCCAAUUAAUUUAACUUGGGAGUCAGAACAUGGGUGAUAAGGUCCGUGUUCGAAAGGGAAACAGCCCAGACCACCAGCUAAGGUCCCAAAAUAUAUGUUAAGUGGAAAAGGAUGUGGCGUUGCCCAGACAACUAGGAUGUUGGCUUAGAAGCAGCCAUCAUUUAAAGAGUGCGUAAUAGCUCACUAGUCGAGUGACACUGCGCCGAAAAUGUACCGGGGCUAAACAUAUUACCGAAGCUGUGGAUUGUCCUUUGGACAAUGGUAGGAGAGCGUUCUAAGGGCGUUGAAGCAUGAUCGUAAGGACAUGUGGAGCGCUUAGAAGUGAGAAUGCCGGUGUGAGUAGCGAAAGACGGGUGAGAAUCCCGUCCACCGAUUGACUAAGGUUUCCAGAGGAAGGCUCGUCCGCUCUGGGUUAGUCGGGUCCUAAGCUGAGGCCGACAGGCGUAGGCGAUGGAUAACAGGUUGAUAUUCCUGUACCACCUAUAAUCGUUUUAAUCGAUGGGGGGACGCAGUAGGAUAGGCGAAGCGUGCGAUUGGAUUGCACGUCUAAGCAGUAAGGCUGAGUAUUAGGCAAAUCCGGUACUCGUUAAGGCUGAGCUGUGAUGGGGAGAAGACAUUGAGUCUUCGAGUCGUUGAUUUCACACUGCCGAGAAAAGCCUCUAGAUAGAAAAUAGGUGCCCGUACCGCAAACCGACACAGGUAGUCAAGAUGAGAAUUCUAAGGUGAGCGAGCGAACUCUCGUUAAGGAACUCGGCAAAAUGACCCCGUAACUUCGGGAGAAGGGGUGCUCUUUAGGGUUAACGCCCAGAAGAGCCGCAGUGAAUAGGCCCAAGCGACUGUUUAUCAAAAACACAGGUCUCUGCUAAACCGUAAGGUGAUGUAUAGGGGCUGACGCCUGCCCGGUGCUGGAAGGUUAAGAGGAGUGGUUAGCUUCUGCGAAGCUACGAAUCGAAGCCCCAGUAAACGGCGGCCGUAACUAUAACGGUCCUAAGGUAGCGAAAUUCCUUGUCGGGUAAGUUCCGACCCGCACGAAAGGCGUAACGAUUUGGGCACUGUCUCAACGAGAGACUCGGUGAAAUCAUAGUACCUGUGAAGAUGCAGGUUACCCGCGACAGGACGGAAAGACCCCGUGGAGCUUUACUGUAGCCUGAUAUUGAAAUUCGGCACAGCUUGUACAGGAUAGGUAGGAGCCUUUGAAACGUGAGCGCUAGCUUACGUGGAGGCGCUGGUGGGAUACUACCCUAGCUGUGUUGGCUUUCUAACCCGCACCACUUAUCGUGGUGGGAGACAGUGUCAGGCGGGCAGUUUGACUGGGGCGGUCGCCUCCUAAAAGGUAACGGAGGCGCUCAAAGGUUCCCUCAGAAUGGUUGGAAAUCAUUCAUAGAGUGUAAAGGCAUAAGGGAGCUUGACUGCGAGACCUACAAGUCGAGCAGGGUCGAAAGACGGACUUAGUGAUCCGGUGGUUCCGCAUGGAAGGGCCAUCGCUCAACGGAUAAAAGCUACCCCGGGGAUAACAGGCUUAUCUCCCCCAAGAGUUCACAUCGACGGGGAGGUUUGGCACCUCGAUGUCGGCUCAUCGCAUCCUGGGGCUGUAGUCGGUCCCAAGGGUUGGGCUGUUCGCCCAUUAAAGCGGUACGCGAGCUGGGUUCAGAACGUCGUGAGACAGUUCGGUCCCUAUCCGUCGUGGGCGUAGGAAAUUUGAGAGGAGCUGUCCUUAGUACGAGAGGACCGGGAUGGACAUACCUCUGGUGUACCAGUUGUCGUGCCAACGGCAUAGCUGGGUAGCUAUGUGUGGACGGGAUAAGUGCUGAAAGCAUCUAAGCAUGAAGCCCCCCUCAAGAUGAGAUUUCCCAACUUCGGUUAUAAGAUCCCUCAAAGAUGAUGAGGUUAAUAGGUUCGAGGUGGAAGCAUGGUGACAUGUGGAGCUGACGAAUACUAAUCGAUCGAAGACUUAAUCAA
This 2229-nucleotide ribosomal RNA is filed under the name Staphylococcus aureus H65863. Its description in RNAcentral is "bacterial LSU rRNA". It matches the Rfam family "Bacterial large subunit ribosomal RNA", at positions 693 to 2925 of the family's 2925-position model. Lineage: Bacteria; Bacillati; Bacillota; Bacilli; Caryophanales; Staphylococcaceae. The record is from RNAcentral.